GACGAACCGUGCGACCGUUGUUCGGAAUCACUGGGCUUAAAGGGUGCGUAGGCGGGCUCGUCAGUCGGGGGUGAAAUCCCACGGCCCAACCGUGGAAGUGCCUCCGAUACUGCGAGUCUAGAGGGGAACAGGGGCAUGCGGAACUUCCGGUGGAGCGGUGAAAUGCGUAGAUAUCGGAAGGAACACCGGUGGCGAAAGCGGCGUGCUGGAUUCCUACUGACGCUGAGGCACGAAAGCCAGGGGAGCAAACGGG
This 253-nucleotide ribosomal RNA is filed under the name uncultured bacterium. RNAcentral's name for it is "partial 16S ribosomal RNA". It matches the Rfam family "Bacterial small subunit ribosomal RNA", at positions 524 to 776 of the family's 1533-position model. The record is from RNAcentral.